CGCAUAUUGCGCCCUUUGGUAUCCCGAAGGGCAUGCCUGUUCGAGCGUCAUUAUCACCCCUCAAGCCCGGCUUGUUGUUGGACCAAGUCCCGUCACACGGACCGGCCCCAAAGAUAAUGACGGCGCCUGUGAGGACUCUAGUACACUGAGCUUUCGGGCACGUACUGUCAGGACUCCAGGCACCGUUUAACCGGAAAAAGGUGCCUCGGCGCAUUUUCCACUCCUAGGUUGACCUCGGAUCAGGUAGGAAUACCCGCUGAACUUAA
Molecule: unclassified non-coding RNA, 266 nt
Filed under: Herpotrichiellaceae sp.
Lineage: Eukaryota; Fungi; Ascomycota; Eurotiomycetes; Chaetothyriales; Herpotrichiellaceae
Description: partial contains 5.8S ribosomal RNA, internal transcribed spacer 2, and large subunit ribosomal RNA
Source: RNAcentral